RNAcentral lists this ribosomal RNA (498 nucleotides) under uncultured bacterium. Its description in RNAcentral is "partial 16S ribosomal RNA". It matches the Rfam family "Bacterial small subunit ribosomal RNA", at positions 29 to 507 of the family's 1533-position model. The record is from RNAcentral.
AGCGAACGCUGGCGGCGUGCCUAACACAUGCAAGUCGAACGUGAAAAGGGAAACCUGAGUAAAGUGGCGUACGGGUGAGUAACGCGUAGGUAAUCUACCCCAGAAUCUGGAAUAACCUGCCGAAAGGCGGGCUAAUACUGGAUAGAGCGAGGGAACUCGUAAGAGAGUUUUUCGGGAAAGGGAGACCGCAAGGGCCUUCGUUCUGGGAUGAGCCUGCGUCUCAUUAGCUAGUUGGUAAGGUAACGGCUUACCAAGGCGAUGAUGAGUAGCUGGUCUGAGAGGAUGGUCAGGCACACUGGAACUGAAACACGGUCCAGACUCCUACGGGAGGCAGCAGUGGGGAAUCUUGCGCAAUGGACGAAAGUCUGACGCAGCCACGCCGCGUGAGUGAAGAAGGCCUUCGGGUUGUAAAGCUCUGUCGGAUGGGACGAACAUCUUCAUAGUGAAUAGCUAUGAGGACUGACGGUACCAUCAAAGGAAGCACCGGCUAACUCCGUG